Molecule: ribosomal RNA, 440 nt
Filed under: uncultured bacterium
Lineage: Bacteria
Description: partial 16S ribosomal RNA
Rfam family: Bacterial small subunit ribosomal RNA
Source: RNAcentral
CCUACGGGAGGCAGCAGUGGGGAAUAUUGCACAAUGGGGGAAACCCUGAUGCAGCGACGCCGCGUGAGUGAAGAAGUAUUUCGGUAUGUAAAGCUCUAUCAGCAGGGAAGAAAAUGACGGUCCCUGACUAAGAAGCCCCGGCUAACUACGUGCCAGCAGCCGCGGUAAUACGUAGGGGGCAAGCGUUAUCCGGCUUUACUGGCGGGAAGGGGAGCGUAGACGGUAGGGCAAGUCGGAAGGGAAAGCCCGCGGCUCAACUGCUGGACUGCUUUGGAAACUGUUCAACUGGAGUGCUGGAGAGGUAAGCGGAAUGCCUAGUGUAGCGGUGAAAUGCGUAGAUAUUAGGCGGAACACCAGUGGCGAAGGCGGCUUACUGGACAGUAACUGACGUUGAGGCUCGAAAGCGUGGGGAGCAAACAGGAUUAGAUACCCUAGUAGUC